UGGUGGCGCAGGGUAGCGGGAAACCUGAUCGGUCGGGUUCGCCGCCGCCGUGAUGGUCGUCAUCUUCCGGUACAUCAGGAUCUGCAUGUAGAGCAGCAGCGUCCAAGCAGCAAGAAAGCUUGAGAUAAUCAAAGAACAACCAGCUGUAGUAGUAGAGGCUUAAUUUCAGAUGUAUAGUUAAUCAAGAGGAAAAAAAUCAUGAUUAGAUUAGAUGCAUACUACUCUCGAUGUUGCUGGUAAAGGUGUUGGUUAGUUGGUAAAUCUGUAGCAAGCGUGGUAUGUAUGUCUGUCUGUCUGUCAGUGAGGCUUGAGAACGAAAUGCAGCAGAGAAAAAGGAGUAUAUGAACUCUUAUCAGAACAUGGGUGAAAUAUUCUCUGCAUGAUGUUCAUGUUUAACUUUUGGCUGUGUUGUACCUCCUAUCAUUUCUCACAUGUUAUCAGCUUAUCUUCUAGUUCAUCACAAGGUGUGAGCUGUGCCAAAAUACUGACUCGCAUUCUAGGGGUCUUUUUUGAGAUAGCUGACAUCG
RNAcentral lists this long non-coding RNA (527 nucleotides) under Oryza brachyantha (malo sina). RNAcentral's name for it is "long non-coding RNA (OBRA_LNC001283)". The record is from RNAcentral. Lineage: Eukaryota; Viridiplantae; Streptophyta; Magnoliopsida; Poales; Poaceae.